Molecule: ribosomal RNA, 506 nt
Filed under: uncultured bacterium
Lineage: Bacteria
Description: partial 16S ribosomal RNA
Rfam family: Bacterial small subunit ribosomal RNA
Source: RNAcentral
AGUGAACGCUGGCGGUAGGCCUAACACAUGCAAGCCGAACGGCAGCACAGGAGAGCUUGCUCUCUGGGUGGCGAGUGGCGGACGGGUGAGGAAUACAUCGGAAUCUACUCUGUCGUGGGGGAUAACGUAGGGAAACUUACGCUAAUACCGCAUACGACCUACGGGUGAAAGCAGGGGACCUUCGGGCCUUGCGCGAUUGAAUAAGCCGAUGUCGGAUUAGCUAGUUGGCGGGGUAAAGGCCCACCAAGGCGACGGUCCGUAGCUGGUCUGAGAGGAUGAUCAGCCACACUGGAACUGAGACACGGUCCAGACUCCUACGGGAGGCAGCAGUGGGGAAUAUUGGACAAUGGGCGCAAGCCUGAUCCAGCCAUACCGCGUGGGUGAAGAAGGCCUUCGGGUUGUAAAGCCCUUUUGUUGGGAAAGAAAUCCAGCUGGCUAAUACCCGGUUGGGAUGACGGUACCCAAAGAAUAAGCACCGGCUAACUUCGUGCCAGCAGCCGCGGUAA